UCCGGCCAUACCAAGUUGAAACACUGGUUCUCUUCCAUUCAGUGAAGUUAAGCAACAUCGAACCUGGCCAAUACUGAGAUUGGUGACCGCUCGGAAAUGUCAGGUGUUGUAAG
This is a non-coding RNA of Acanthosepion pharaonis, 113 nucleotides long. The record is from the annotation of a GenBank genome assembly. NCBI's taxonomy places the organism in Eukaryota, Metazoa, Mollusca, Cephalopoda, Sepiida, Sepiidae.